RNAcentral lists this long non-coding RNA (287 nucleotides) under Gossypium barbadense (sea-island cotton). RNAcentral describes it as "long non-coding RNA (GBAR_LNC006903)". The record is from RNAcentral. Lineage: Eukaryota; Viridiplantae; Streptophyta; Magnoliopsida; Malvales; Malvaceae.
GGAAGCAAUACAAAAAGGCAACCAAUAUCGGAAGGUGAUUUUUCCGAUCAAAAUCUCCGGGCUUUCUUUGUGAUUAUUCUCUCGUUUGGUGUUAUUUUUAUCUUAUUUUAUUUUGAAAAGCAAAUAAAGUAAAGAGGAAAGGAGCUUACCGUGCGAGCAGGCCAUGGAUUUCUCCUCCUUUCUUCGUCGGAAUCGAAGUUGAAGAGGGAUUUCGGGCUAAAAUUCCUCCAGGCUCAAAGAACCCCAUCUGGCGAAGAUGAAUCGGCGUUGGAAGGAGAGGGUUUAAG